Long non-coding RNA from Oncorhynchus tshawytscha (Chinook salmon), 5652 nucleotides. Lineage: Eukaryota; Metazoa; Chordata; Actinopteri; Salmoniformes; Salmonidae. The record is from Ensembl.
AAACAAUUGUCCUGAAGCCAAACCCAGUUGACGAACCCUGUUUUAUAGUAUUCCAUGGCCUUUACUGGCCAACUGCUGUUAUGUUUAUGAUAUACUAUGGUGUUGUGUCACUAGACUUUGACCAGAUAUUAUUACAUCCAAAGAUCAACUGAACCUAGAACAUAGAUACAGAGACACUUGUCAUCAGGAAGGUGCUCUCUCAGCACAACGGACAAUAUCUCAAUGACUUGACAUGUUCUGGUUGUGAAUUCAGGCUACAAGGGGUUUGUGCUCUAAAAUGAGUCUCUCUGGGGAGAAAGAGGAGGAGGGCCCUGCCUCUAAAAGGAUUGUCUUUGGGGAACAUGGCACCAAAUCUAAGAGGUUUGUGGUGGCAGGGUAACCUAGUGGUUAGAGCAUUGGACUACUAACCGAAAGGUUGCAAGUUCAUAUCCCCGAGCUGACAAGGUACUAGUCUGUCAUUCUGCCCCUGAACAGGCAGUUCCUAGGCUGUCAUUAAAAAUAAGAAUUUGUUCUUAACUUACUUGCCUAGUUAAAUAAAGGUUAAAAAAUAAAAGGUUAAUUCAUGUCAUGAAUACUUGAACCAGGUUAUGUAGACGAUUAGUGUAACCAAUAGUGAGGGGUGUGUCAAAAUUAUUAUGUUAAUAAGAAUGAAUUAGUGAAACUGUUAAAAAACAAAAGUUUAUGGCAUGUUGAAUAUGCUAUUGUUAUCAUAUGGGAACAUCAUUGAAUAUUGUACAUAACAUUAGCAUCAAUAUACAUUAUUGUUUAAUUCAAUUUCACAUAUUUAAUUGUUUCCUAUUUCAAUUCAUUUUUUUGUUACAUGUAAUGUUUUGGUUCAAACAUAAUGCAUAAUAAGCAUCAUCAACAGGGGGAACAUAUUGGAUGUAUACUAAUAAGCUGUAGAAAGAAUAAAUCCAUUUAAAAGAGAGAAUUGUUCAUAAGAAGGGCUUGAGAUCAAAGUCAAUAUUCAGACCACUAGGGGUCAAUGUUUUUAGGAUAUCCAGUAAGCCUCCCCUUGUAGUAGUACGAUCUCCAUGUUAACUCCUCUCCUUGGUAGAGCAACAUGCUCAAUGCCUGUGUAUUGGAGGUAUGAGAUUGGAAGGUUAGCUUCAACAAAGUGAGCUGCUAUUGGAUAGUCAAUGUUCUUACACCUGAUUGAGCUGCGGUGUUCAGCUAUGUGUUGUUUAAUUGUCUUUUCUUUUGUCCUACAUAGGCUUUCCCACAUGAACAGGUGAUGAGAUAAAUUAUUUGCUUGGUCUUACAUGAGAUGAUCCCCUAACAGGGAUGUUUCUACCUGUAUGUGUGUGUCUGAAGUAGGAUGUUUUUAUAGUUCUAUUUGCACUGAGCCAUGUUUGUAGUUCCCAUUUGGAAUGGGUGUCAAGAGUGUCUGAGUGGCCCAGGGGGCAGGUCAGAUCUCACCAAGAUAUCUCCAAGAGUGUCUGAGUGGGCUCAGGGGGCAGGUCAGAUCUCACCAAGCUAUCUCUAAGAGUGUCUGAGUAUGCUCAGGGGUCAGGUCAGAUCUCACCAAGCUAUCUCUAAGAGUGUCUGAGUGGGCUCAGGGGUCAGGUCAGAUCUCACCAAGCUAUCUCUAAGAGUGUCUGAGUGGGCUCAGGGGUCAGGUCAGAUCUCACCAAACUAUCUCAAAUAUUGCGACCACACUUAUAGACCACCAGUGGGGGUUCCUUUUUUUUGUUUGCAAUUUUUUUGUUUGUCUGAUUGCAGAAUAUUCCAGUGCUUUUUCAGGAUUGCUUUCAUUUUCUCUGAAUACUUGGUGUACUUGGUGCAAAAGAUGGUUGUUUUUCUUCUUUGGUAGAUUGUUUUGCAAUUCCUCUCUUGGUUUUUGAGAUGUUUUCAUCAUUGCAGCAUCGAGUUGUGUCCUUGUAGCCUCUCAUUUUGAAAUUAUCUGUCUUUUUAAAAAAUUCUGUCAAAAUCCAAUAGUUUUUCCAUCAUACAUUUUUCCUAUAGAGAAUUGUAGAAACACUUCAAAUGUUUUGUGUAUGUUGGGGUGGUGCAGCGGUUCUUGUGGGCACAUUUUGUCAUCAAAGUCUGUCAUUCUCUGGAUUUAUGGUGCUUUCAAGGAAACUGGGAAGUUUGAAUUAUGAUGUUAGUGAUUUUCAGGACGGAGCUCUAGAAAGAGGCCCAAGUUCCCGACUUGUAUUUUCAAGUCGGAUGACUGCUCAAACUGUAUUUUCUCAGUAGGAGCAUGGUUUUUUUCUGGGUUUCCAGUUGUCCUGAAAUCACUGAAGUCUGAUAUUUCCCAGUUUCAGUUGUUUUGAAUGCAGCAGAAGUUAUGCUGGAUUCACAGCAUGGCCAAUGUAUUCAACCUUUUCUGCCCCAUGGUGUUACAGGUGAAUGUUUAUCCUUUUAAGCUUGGAAAAGAGACCAUUAAAUGCAGAUUUGGACCACACAUCCUCUCCACUGAAUUGCUGGCUAGUGGAUGUUUUGCAAUGCUUGCAGUUAGCCACAGAUUCCUUCCAAACCACUCAUUCCAAACCACUCAUUGCUAGCUAAGAUGUUGAUCGUAUGAUGUUGACAUGAUCAGUCCAAUCAAAGCUACUGUAGACAAAACGUGAGUUGACGUCAUUUUAUCUGUGGCCAAUGACCUUGAGCCUUUUGAAUGGGCACUUCUAAUGUAACUCUAGGGCAGCACCCAAUCGGCUUGAAUUUUUAAGCUCUCCCUGUAGAUUUUGUGGUGAUGUAGUGUCUCCAUGAGUGACAGAACACUGAGCCAAUCAAGGCGCAACUACAGAACAUUACCAACUACGCUCAGUAUUUCCUGCUGGCUGCCCCACCACCGCAGAAAGCACUGAGCUAGGCUGAAACAGCUGCAUUUUGGAGCUGCCUUACUCAAUAAAUCAAAAAAGAGACCAUAUUUGUAUGUGGCUUAUUAACUCAAUUAUUUUUUUCUUACAUUAUUUGCAAACUGAUAUAUGACAGGUAUUAAUGCCAAAAUAACAUGCUAAACAGGUGGGGCUCUGUACCUGAAUCUGUACCUGAAUAACAGGUGGGGCUCUGUACCUGAAUAACAGGUGGGUCUCUGUACCUGAAUAACAGGUGGGUCUCUGUACAUGAAUAACAGGUGGGGCUCUGUACCUGAAUAACUCACCUUCUGAACAUUCUAUUCCCAGCCCAAUGUUCUGCAUCACAAUGCCAGCUUUGCUAUUGUUAUUAAUGAGACCUACCUGUGUUAACAUUGUGGGUUUUACCUAAAUUAUUUGUAUUAUUACUAUUGCUACAGCUACUUGGUGAGCAAACUUUUGGUGACCCACAGUGCUAGUGAUGGCUGACACACACCGAUCAAAUGUUAAACAUUUUCUGGUCAUUUAAAAAAAUAUAUAUAUUUCACCUUUAUUUAACCAGGUAGGCUAGUUGAGAACAAGUUCUCAUUUGCAACUGCGACCUGGCCAAGAUAAAGCAUAGCAAUUCAACACAUACAACAACACAGAGUUACACAUGGAAUAAACAAAACAUAGUCAAUAAUACAGUAGUACAUAAGAAAACAAAAAGUACAGUAUAUAUACAGUGAGUGCAGAUGAGGUAGGCUAAGUCAAUAAAUAGGCCAUGGUGGCGAAGUAAACACAAUAUAGCAAUUAAAACACUGGAAUGGUAGAUGUGCAGAAGAUGAAUGUUUCAAGUAGAGAUACUGGGGUGCAAAGGAGCAAGAUAAAUAAAUAAAUACAGUAUGGGGAUGAGGUAGAUAGAUGGGAUGUUUACAGAUGGGCUAUGUACAGUUGCAGUGAUCUGUGAGCUGCUCUGACAGCUGGUGCUUAAAGCUAGUGAGGGAGAUAUGAGUCUCCAGCUUCAGAGAUGUUUGCAGUUCGUUCCAGUCAUUGGCAGCAGAGAACUGGAAGGGAAGACGACCAAAGGAGGAAUUGGCUUUGGGUGUGACCAGUGAGAUAUACCUGCUGGAGCGCGUGCUGCGGGUGGGUGCUGCUAUGGUGACCAGUGAGCUGAGAUAAGGUGGGGCUUUACCUAGCAGAGACUUGUAGAUAACCUGUAGCCAGUGGGUUUGGCGACAAGUAUGAAGCGAGUGCCAACCAACGAGAGCGUACAGGUCGCAAUAGUGGGUAGAGUAUGGGGCUUUGGUGACCAAACGGAUGGCACUGUGAUAGAUUGCAUCCAGUUGGUUGAGUAGAGUGUUGGAGGCAAUUUUAUAGAUGACAUCACCGAAGUCGAGGAUUGGUAGGAUAGUCAGUUUUACGAGGGUAUGUUUGGCAGCAUGAGUGAGGGAUGCUUUGUUGCGAAAUAGGAAGCCAAUUCUACAUUUAAUUUUGGAUUGGAGAUGCUUAAUGUGAGUCUGGAAGGAGAGUUUACAGUCUAGCCAGACACCUAUGUAUUUGUAGUUGUCCACGUAUUCUAAGUCAGAGCCGUCCAGAGUAGCGAUGCUGGACGGGCGAGCAGGUGCGGGCAGCGAUCGGUUGAAGAGCAUGCAUUUAGUUUUAUUUGCGUUUAAGAGCAGUUAGAGGCCACGGAAGGAGAGUUGUAUUGCAUUGAAGCUCGUCUGGAGGUUAGUUAACACAGUGUCCAAAGAGGGGCCAGAAGUAUACAGAAUGGUGUCGUCUGCGUAGAGGUGGAUCAGAGAGUCACCAGCAGCAAGAGCAACAUCAUUGAUGUAUACAGAGAAGAGAGUCAGCCCGAGGCGUGAACCCUGUGGCACCCGCAUAGAGACUGCCAGAGGUCCGGACCACAGGCCCUCCGAUUUGACACACUGAACUCUAUCAGAGAAGUAGUUGGUAAACCAGGCGAGGCAAUAAUUUGAGAAACCAAGGCUGUCGAGUCUGCCAAUAAGAAUGUGGUGAUUGACAGAGUUGAAAGCCUUGGCCAAGUCGAUGAAAACGGCUGCAUAGUAAUGUCUCUUAUCGAUGGCGGUUAUGAUGCCGUUUAGGACCUUGAGCGUGGCUGAGGUGCACCCAUGACCAGCUCAGAAACCAGAUUGCAUAGCGGAGAAGGUACGGUGGGAUUUGAAAUGGUCGGUAAUCUGUUUGUUAAUUUGGCUUUCGAAGACCUUAGAAAGGCAGGGUAAAAUAGAUAUAUGGUCAUGGUUAACCAUAUUUGUUUUCAGAAAAAGGUAUACAACCUAAGUGAAACACAUGUCCCUGUCCUCUUUUUCAAGGUGUGGCUGAAUAUAUAUUAUAUAUAUACUUUAAUAUUAAGAAAUAACACUUUUUUUGAUGGCUUGUUGUUUCUAAAUGGCUGCUGGGUAAGUUGAUAUGCAUCGAAUUCUUCGUUUGUAGGCAUUGCAUUGAGCGAAUGCUGCGCAGGUUCACUGAGUUGCAAACCAAAUGGACAGGUCUAGCUCAUUGAUUUGUAGAUCUGACGCAAUUUCUACAUCAGAUUAUGAGCCAAGCAAGUGUCGCAAUGAGUUAUGUAGUACCCACAGAAGGCCACAGGAGGGGCAAGAGAGCUAUACAACCAUACUGAUUUUUGCCUUAAAAACCCAAAACCUAACAUCCAAUAAAAUGUAUUUAUAACGCCCUUUUUACAUCAGCAGAUGUAAAUUAAUUUACAUGAAUUUACCCUGAUUUCUAGUGAUGGGUAGCGUAGAACACUUUUAGAAACUAUUUUAGUAAUAACAUUAUGUUAGUAAAUACAAAUAUAGUACUAACUAGCAUUUGUAUUAUUCUGUUAAUCAAAACCUGUCUAAGCAUUUAG